This 62-nucleotide transfer RNA is filed under the name Chloriona tateyamana. RNAcentral describes it as "tRNA-Pro". The record is from RNAcentral. Lineage: Eukaryota; Metazoa; Arthropoda; Insecta; Hemiptera; Delphacidae.
CAGCCAAUAGUUUAAUUAAAAUUUUAAUUUUGGAGAUUAAAGAUACUUUUUUGUUUAGCUGA